This is a non-coding RNA of Ctenopharyngodon idella (grass carp), 1356 nucleotides long. NCBI's taxonomy places the organism in Eukaryota, Metazoa, Chordata, Actinopteri, Cypriniformes, Xenocyprididae. The record is from the annotation of a RefSeq genome assembly.
GUUCAAGGGUUUUUCCAGUGUAAUGAUAUUUUGCAUUGGCAGCUCAUGCCUCAGUGCUCUGGGAGUGUUUAUAGUCCUGUGAACGAUUUUAACACACAAGAUCUGUCCACUCUAAAACAGAAGCCAAUAUGAUUCUCUUCAUCUGGGCAUUUUACUGCAUCCAAGGCUCUUUGGGACAGGUCGUUGUGACUCAACCUGAGGUUAAAUCAGUUCAGCUUGGUCAAACAGUCUCUAUUGAUUGUAAGGUCAACACUGUAGUUUAUAGGUAUCCUGAGGGUUCAGUAUCCAAAGAUUACUACAUCUUCUGGUUCAUUCAGAAGGCAGAGGAACCUCCUAAACUCCUUAUAUAUUACACAACAAUGAAGCCCUCGAGUGCUCCAUCUAGAAUGAGCGGUGGAGGCAGUUUUCACUCUGGAGGAAAUGGUCUUGAUUUCACUCUGACCAUCAGUGAUGUCCAGCUUGAAGAUGCAGGAGAUUUUUAUUGUCAGAGUCAACAUAAGAUAAGUGACAAUUGGGUGUUCACACAGUGAAAAAAUGCUGCACAAAAACCUCCCUUGGUUAAACCUCAGAGAAUCCUCUGAUGCAUCCGAGACCUACAGGUCUGAAAUAAGAACAAAAACAGGGGUUACUUUAUUUGUAUUCUUAUUUAUUUCAGUGUUCCCUAUCAGUAGAAAUAAUAAUUUAAUUUCUUGCUGUUCCUGUUACAUAUCUAAUUUUUGUCAACCAAAUCAGUUGUUCUAUGAUAUUUUUCAUACAGUACAGUGCUUCACAUUCAUAUAGAAAAAGCAUAUAAUCGAUACAUCUAGGUUAAUAUGUAAUGUGUGAGUUGUUCAGUAUGCAAAGAUAAAAUUGUUUUACACAAAGUAGAGAAGCAGAAAUACUUAUUCAUUAGUUAUGAAAAAAGUCUUUUAAUGUAGUUGUCUAACUCUACAAUUACAUUCAGAGAUUCUCACAUUCAUACAAGUACAUUUAUGACAUAAGUAGUAAAUAUGUAUUUUAUAAAGUUUGAAACUUAUACAGCCUAUGGUACUAUAGGAACAUGAAAUUGUCCAGCCAUGACUUCUUGUUUCACAGGAGUAUGAGGAAACACAAAGGCCAAAUUCCCUUAAUCAUUCAUCACAAUGAGUAAAACCAAAGAGUUCUGAUGUGCAGCAAAAUAUUAUUGAGCUACACAAAAUAGAAAGUGUCUGUAAGAAAAUAGCUAAAGCAUCAAAAAGUCCCAUUUCAUAUAUAAACUGUUGUUUCAAAGUUAUUAUAUAUACAGUAUGUUGAUAAAAUAAGGUCAUGUAAAAUGCAGAAGUCAGGCUCGUCCGGGAUUUGAACCCAGGACCUCUCGCACCCUAAGCGAGAAUCAUA